CGCACACCGGGCAUCCGCGUGAAGGCUUUUUAAUCCGAUUUUUUCCUUCUUAUUAAAAAAAAUUAAAUGCCUCCUUAACACCGCGGAUUUUAUCCUUCAAGACCUGUCAGGAUUGGAGUGAUUGAAGUGUUUUCUGUGGACUGACCGAUGGAAACAUGAGCCGAUUUUAUUAUCGCAUGCUUCUUUUCCCAUUUACUCUCUUCAGUACUGUUUUACUUCCGACUUCUGGAAAAUCCCAAAAUGAAGCUGACAGAAACGGAUGCUCCAGAUGAGAAUUUGAGCGUUUGGAUGAAUCACAGCACUGAGACGAUCCAGCGAAUGAGUGAUGAGAAGAAUGUCCUGACAAUAAGAUUUUAACAGUGGAGUAUCCGUGUAUCAGAGCAGGAGGAGAGCG
Ictalurus punctatus (channel catfish) is the source of this 394-nucleotide long non-coding RNA. The record is from Ensembl. Lineage: Eukaryota; Metazoa; Chordata; Actinopteri; Siluriformes; Ictaluridae.